RNAcentral lists this transfer RNA (74 nucleotides) under Planctomycetia bacterium. RNAcentral's name for it is "tRNA-Arg". It matches the Rfam family "tRNA". Rfam says of the family: Transfer RNA (tRNA) molecules are approximately 80 nucleotides in length. Their secondary structure includes four short double-helical elements and three loops (D, anti-codon, and T loops). Further hydrogen bonds mediate the characteristic L-shaped molecular structure. tRNAs have two regions of fundamental functional importance: the anti-codon, which is responsible for specific mRNA codon recognition, and the 3' end, to which the tRNAs corresponding amino acid is attached (by aminoacyl-tRNA synthetases). tRNAs cope with the degeneracy of the genetic code in two manners: having more than one tRNA (with a specific anti-codon) for a particular amino acid; and 'wobble' base-pairing, i.e. permitting non-standard base-pairing at the 3rd anti-codon position. The record is from RNAcentral. Lineage: Bacteria; Pseudomonadati; Planctomycetota; Planctomycetia.
GCCCCCGUAGCUCAGGUGGAUAGAGCAACAGAUUUCUAAUCUGUCGGUCGGGAGUUCGAAUCUCUCCGGGGGUA